GUAUAGCCCCGAUAGUAAUGGAAAUCCUUUUGUUUUUUUGGGAUGGACUUCAAUUGGAAGUGGCGUCAUCCUUAUUUGUGAAUUAGUUUGUUUUGAAAACGACAAAAAAACAAAAGAUUGUAAUGGAUAGCGGGACGGGUG
RNAcentral lists this small RNA (141 nucleotides) under Flavobacterium branchiophilum. RNAcentral's name for it is "Flavo-1 RNA". It matches the Rfam family "Flavo-1 RNA". The record is from Rfam by way of RNAcentral. Lineage: Bacteria; Pseudomonadati; Bacteroidota; Flavobacteriia; Flavobacteriales; Flavobacteriaceae.